GAUGAACGCUAGCUACAGGCUUAACACAUGCAAGUCGAGGGACCGGCGCGCGUGGGAGUAACACGUAUCCAACCUGCCCUGUACUCGGGAAUAGCCUUUCGCAAGAACUACUAACACCCGAUGUAAAGGAUGGGGAUGCGUUCCAUGAGGUUGUUGGUAAGGUAACGGCUCACCAAGCCUUCGAUGGAUAGGGGUUCUGAGAGGCAGGUCCCCCAGAAUGGAACUGAGACACGGUCCAAACGCCUACGGGAGGCAGGAGUGAGGAGUAUUGGUCAAUGAGCGUUAGCCUGAACCAGCCAAGUAGCGUAAAGGAUGAAAGCUUAUAGGUCGUAAACUUCUUGUAUAUAAGAAUAUGUAUUAGCAGAAUAAGCAUCGGCUAACUCCGUGCCAGCAGCCGCGGUAAUAC
Molecule: ribosomal RNA, 406 nt
Filed under: uncultured bacterium
Lineage: Bacteria
Description: partial 16S ribosomal RNA
Rfam family: Bacterial small subunit ribosomal RNA
Source: RNAcentral